GCGUACUGCUUCCGGUACGGAGGGGUUGAGAGAUUCCCGCCUCCAGUCGCUCCCUCAUUGGGGCCGCUCCUCAGCGCCCGCCCCGUACGGGUGCUGUCCCACGUAUUACUCGCUUUGCGCAUGGACAGAUUCGUGGUUAAACGUUCUGCUGAGGAACCUGGGGGUGAUGGCAAGAGGCCCCGGUUAGAGGAGGCGGCGGGCGGCCUGCCCCAUCCCUCGCAGCCUAGUCAGCAGAUCCGCGCCCAAGGCCUGAGCCUCGAGUAUCGCCUCCUCUUCGGCCGGGCCGAGGCUGACGAGGUCUUCCAGCAGCUGGAAAAGGAGGUGGAGUACUUCGAAGGUGAACAGACAAAGUUGCAUGUGUUUGGCAAAUGGCAUAACAUCCCCAGGAAGCAGGUAACCUACGGAGACCCCGAGUUAACGUACACUUACUCAGGUGUCACCUUUUCUCCUAAGCCGUGGAUCCCAGUUCUCAACCGCAUCAGAGAUCGCCUUGUUUUGGAAACGGGACACACUUUUAAUUUUGUUGUUAUUAACAGGUAUAAAGACGGUGAGGACCACAUAGGUGAACAUCGAGAUGAUGAGAAGGAGCUGAUUCCACGUAGCCCUAUUGCAUCAGUGUCCUUUGGAGCCUGCAGAGACUUCGUUUUCAGGCACUGCGAUUCCAGAGGGAAGAAUGCAACACGGCACAUUAAGCCCAUCAGACUGCAGCUAGCCCAUGGCAGCCUGCUGAUGAUGAAGUACCCCACUAACGUGUACUGGUACCACAGCCUGCCCAUCCGCAAGAGAGUGCUUGCUCCAAGAAUCAACCUGACAUUUCGGAAAAUGAUGGUUGUUGACAAAAAAGCGAGAUAGCAAUGAAGCACCUGGACCAUAGACCCUGAAUACUGAAGUUUUCCUCCUCGAUAUAGCUGUCAGUUCCUCAAUCAAGCUGUGUUUGAUGAUCCAAGGCAUUAACCUAGAAGAUAGAGUGCUUGGGAAUCCAUUCUGAAAGCCAUUCCCAUCCGUGCUCCAUCCUACUGAAAUGAGGAAAGAGUAUCCAAAGUGUCCACCAGAUCUUAAGGAAUCAAGCAAUGGUAAGUGCUGAGCAAAAAUGUGAGUUGAUCCCUGUGUAACCCUGCUUAGGAGCAUGUGAAUGAGUAGCCUGCAGUCUCUUGGGGCUGUGGAAUUAACAGCAGUUUAGAAAAGCUGGAAUUGGAAAUUCUUAUCCUCUGUAUUUCUUGUGAAGAGCAGGGCUCUGCUGGGAACCUGGAUCCCAGGAAUGCACCUAGAGAAGGAGAAGUGCUGCUUCUAUCAGAUGUACUGUGUAUAUAUCUGAUAGAUUGGCCUUGAAGAAAUCAGCAAAUAUGGACAGUUACUUUUUUUAUUAAGUUCUUUUAUUGCUACUGUACAGUUACAAAAAAUACCCUGAAGUGAAAACGCAACUUCGAACAGCAGUGCGGUGCUGUGACUCUCACACUUUUUUAAAAUAAUACACAAAAUAAAACAAGAAUUAUCCAAACACAGAGAUGUCAUCCUAGAGGCCUUAUCUGAUGUUUGUAAGCUCCUGCAUUUAAUAACAACUUUUCCAUCACAAAAGCUUCUAACAAGUAACAAUAUUGGAUGAAGCCCAGUGAUUUCAAAAGGUGAAGAUGGCAAACAUCUGCAGAAGCCUUUGAGCUUGCAGUAGGCUGAGUGUCCAGCACAGGACUGGGCCUGAGGUUCUGUCACUUGCUUCCUUCCUCACACUGAGGGCUAAACUAAGGCUGCCUGCUCCUUCCCAGCAGCAAAACCUACAACAAAUGCUGACUGUUCAGCCCUCAUUUCUGCAGCCUUUGAAGAAGGUUGCAGAGUGAACCUGCAGCUGAAUGAAAGUGAGCAGGUUAACAGUGUCACGCAGUCAUGCUUCCAUUCUGAUCAAACUGACCCAACAGAAAGCAGUUCUAUGCCAAGUACUGAACGUGCAAGCUUGCAACGCUUUGGGGCUGACAAGUUUGAGACUGUUAGCCUGUGGUGUGCAUAUGUUCUGACACAGCUCCAGCAUUACUGCUUCCUGAACAAAAUUACCUGAAGAAGAACUUCACAAAACCUCUAUAAACAGCCCCUACUGAGAACAGGCUUUGCAGAAUAUACACUCUGGCUGGUGGAAAUGUUUGGAAGCUUUCAGGUCAAACUGUAGCCCUGCUGGAACGACACGCUUUACAGAGCUUCUCCUGCACUCCCAUGCUGCUCAGAACAGGGGGUUUUCCUCUCCUCUCACAUUCUGCAAGUCUGUUAGACUUUAUCUCAAUGGCCAGGACAUUUUUGGCAUUUUGCAACCCUUUUUUUUUUUCCCCUCUUGUUGUUUUUCCCUAACUCAACAUAUAAAAGUUAAAACCAUGCUACCAGUAGCCUAACUUAGACAGGGAGGCUUCUCACUAACUGGUAUCUCUGUAGAUUUAUAAAGAGUG
Tympanuchus pallidicinctus (lesser prairie-chicken) is the source of this 2426-nucleotide RNA transcript. It is a transcript of the gene named alkB homolog 2, alpha-ketoglutarate dependent dioxygenase, with no coding region annotated. The transcript has 4 exons. NCBI's taxonomy places the organism in Eukaryota, Metazoa, Chordata, Aves, Galliformes, Phasianidae. The record is from RefSeq and is a predicted model, not a curated record.